GACGAACGUUGGUGGCGUGCUUAAUACAUGCAAGUCAACUGAAGCAGUGGUAGCAAUAUCGCUGUGGAGGUGGCGCACGGGUGAGUAACACGUAGGUAAUCUGCCUUCAGGUCUGGCAUAACUCCGGGAAACCGGGGCUAAUAGCAGAUGAUGCAGCGGCUCGACAUCGAGACAGUUGUUAAAGCUAUGGCGCCUGAAGAUGAGCCUGCGUCUGAUUAGCUAGUUGGCGGGGUAACGGCCCACCAAGGCAACGAUCAGUAGCUGGUCUGAGAGGAUGAUCAGCCACACUGGAACUGAGACACGGUCCAGACUCCUACGGGAGGCAGCAGUAAGGAAUAUUGCUCAAUGGGAGAAAUCCUGAAGCAGCAACGCCGCGUGAGGGACGAAGGGCUUUUGCUUGUAAACCUCUGUAGUGAGAGAAAAAAAUCCCAAUCUUUGGGACAUGAUGGUAUCUCAAAAGUAAGCCCCGGCUAACUACGUG
RNAcentral lists this ribosomal RNA (481 nucleotides) under uncultured bacterium. Its description in RNAcentral is "partial 16S ribosomal RNA". It matches the Rfam family "Bacterial small subunit ribosomal RNA", at positions 28 to 507 of the family's 1533-position model. The record is from RNAcentral.